Homo sapiens (human) is the source of this 2708-nucleotide long non-coding RNA. Ensembl annotates it as long intergenic non-protein coding RNA 1266. NCBI's taxonomy places the organism in Eukaryota, Metazoa, Chordata, Mammalia, Primates, Hominidae. The record is from Ensembl.
AGAGCGGACGCCGAGGCCGAGGAGGCGCCGAGAGCGAGUGAGAGCUGCUAGCCAGUUGUCACCUCUCACAGAGAGUCUCAAGAUGUAGCUUUGAGCCAAACUACAAAUGUGUUUUCUUUCAUCUUGAAAUAUAGCCUCGGAAUGUGCUGUGAACCUCCACUCUCCUCUCCCUUUCCCACUUUAUGCUCCCAUGCCUUAUGCACAUUUAUUUGCCUAGGUACUUGUUAAGCACACACCAUGCUCUCUUAUCUGGUCAUAAAUUUCCUUAGAAGCUUUAGGGGCCGGAUCCUGAUACAGAGCAGACACCUCCAGAGUUCUUUCCAACGCGUGAUUACCUCAAGCCUGGAAUCCACUCUUGACUAGAGAUUGACUGGAAGAUUGACUGCAAUUGAUUUGUAACCUGGUUGGGCCCAUCCUGGCACGGGUUCCUUCACUAGAUGGAAUAAUAAUUCAAAACAAGUCAUCGGAGCAGGUUGCACCGCCUGACACCUCCUAAGCCGUUUGUUUCUCCUGCAUUCCAAACCUCUCGCUUUAAAAACCCCUGCAUUCCCUCCACAAAUUAAAGAGUGGAAAUGUUUGGAAAGAAUUCCGCCCAGUCUUGCCCUUGCUACCACAGAUAAUAAAGCUUGCUCUCUUUCUAUCACACCUCGCUCUUGUUAUUUUGGCGUCUUUCUCCAAGCAGCAAGCAGCUGGACCCUUUUGCCUGUUACAAGUCUUUAAAUAGGGUAGUUUUCAAAUGUCUUCCUCAGUAAAAAAUAUGAUUCUAUCCCUCCAAUAACAUAACCUUUUUUUUUCCUUUUCUGUCUGUUGGGAGGAGUUUAAAAAGAAAGCGUGGGCAUUCCAUAUGUAUAUGAAAUUUCCUGUUGGUUCCUGAAAAAAUGAUAAAUUUUUCAAUGAUGUAUCUAGAAAAUAGUGACUUCUGUGAUUUAAUUUAUGAUAUACUAGCAUAUGUUUUGUGGCAGAAGAAAACCCUUAAAUUUAGUAUGCAGACCUCACUGUUGGGGGCACAAUGGAACAGACUCAUACUGAGACUUGCCUGCAUUCUGGAUAGGGCAAUUGAGUCCGUAGAGCUGCACUUCAUCAUCUGCUAAGUCAGCAGUUAAUUUUCUUUCUAGUGCAUUAUUUACUUCAAAAUUAACAUUCAUGAGAACUCAAGGAAUACAAGCUAGCCUAAAGAGUUAGGCUUUGUCUACAUUUGUCGUCUGCAUGAAGGGAGCAAUUUUACAGCACCCCAGGUGCCCUAACACGUUGACAGCCUGGCAGUAUUUUACACUUAAAAUUCUUCAGCUGAAUACUGGACAUUUUGAACAAGGACGUUACAUUAUUCUUGGUACUUACGGCUACACAGCAAAAGUAACAUCUGGGAAGGAAAUAAGUCGUUACAAAUGGAUGUGGACAUCUGUUUUCUGAUGGAAAAAGAGCUUCUGUCCUACAAAAUAUUUUCUUGUAAUAAUGGAUAAUAAUGUUUUUAUUUAUUUUUAUUUGUUUGCUUUUAACUGGAGACCACAGAAUUUUCUUAUAAAAUAUUUAUUUGCAAUAUUCCAAGCAUUGUAGACCGCUUUGUCUAGUGGCAAGUCCUGAUCUCUGUAGUAACAGUGACACCUAUUUAGUGUGGCAGAGUGGCUUUGGUGUCAAAAAGACAUUGCUGCAAAUCUCAGUAUUUAUAACAGGAACUACUUUCAAUUCUCUCUUGGGGAUUUUUGUUAUCCACAUAUCUCCCUUUUAGUGGGAGAGCAAAGCCAGUCUUGCUGUUUUUGAACUCUUACUUAAAAUCUAACCUGGGACUAAUAAAAAGAAAGUUAGAGAUCCUCUCUGGCAGCCAAAGUCCCUGAAGUGAAAAAGCAGAGAAUGAGAAUUGUUUGUUAAAAGUGACCACAGCAAAAGCUAGAAGGUGAGGACCAAAGGAGAGAGCUGGUAAGAGAUACUCUGUGACACUGGUUGUCCAAUCAUUGAAAACACUGAGUCUUUGUGGGUCUCCGGCAAACUUCCAGUCCUCUCCUGCUUUCAGCGGAGAGUCUCCACUUAAUAAUUUAAGAACUCCACUUACACUAGCCUUUCUAUUUGCAUAUCUUUCUUGAUACUUCUUCUCCACCACCCUCAAACCCCAAGCACUAAGAUUUUCUCAGUUGUCCUUCUGAAUAUCUAUUGCAUGCAUUUGACUUCUAUUCAUCGCUGAUCUCCAUGGCCAUUUCCCACUGUCUAAAACUUUUCAACCAGUGCCAUUGACUGAGGCCUUCAGCAAUUUCUGUAAUAUAUUCCUGAGUAGUGCUUCAUGAUCUCAUCUUUGUCUACCUUUCCAGCUUAAUCUGUAUUGUUCUCCUUUCUUCUAUAUUGCACAGAAGCCAUCUGGGACUUGCAACUUCCGUUUGCUGUUCACAAAAGCCAUGUUCAUUUCAAGGCAGGAAUAUCCUCCCUCACAUUUCUCAUCUGCUGUAUUCCUACUCACUCUUCAGUUCUAACUGAAAGUUCACUUGCUUAUAAAGGCCUUUCCUGACCUCUUAGAUUUGUGUUAUUCCCUCUGCUGUAGGCUUUCACAACACCUUGUAUUUUUUAAUAUUAACCUUUUUAAUAUCAACUUAAAAAAUCACAAUCACUUAAUGUGUUUGUUUUCUACCAACCUGUGAGUUACAAGAAAUUGGGUACCAUUCUGUUUCUGUUUAUCUUGUAUUGCUAGGACUGGGUAGAGUGCAUACACGUAGUAAUGCCUA